AAGAUUAGGCUGAAUGUCCCAAGUAAAUCAUCUUCAGUGAGAUUUGUCAAGCGAGUAGAGGAAAAUACAUUGACAGGAGAAGUGGCAAGGUCCCCAUAUACAACUCCAAGAGAUUGGUAAGCCAACAACAAGGUCUGCAUGGGUGGAUAUUCCUGAGAAAAAUACUCAAAAUCUCAAUAUCCUAUGAAGUGACUUAGAAGUUUCAAGGCAGUAACAAAAAAAAGUGUGAAGUUAUCAGAUUUUAUCGAAACUGGUAGUAGCACUAGCACACAUCGAGGGUAAAAUGAGAACAGGUUGCUUGUGAUGAUUUCAUCAUGUCCUAUGUCAACCUCCAGAUGCACCGGUCUGCAGGAACCAUGAUGACUUAAGGUGUUCAAAAGGAAGAGGUAGUUAUAACUUAAUCACAUGAAGGAAGUUAUCCCGAAAGACCUACACUCUCUUGAAAUCUAUGCAAACCUAGCAAAAGAUCGGGCACAAUGAAAGAAAAGGAUCUAUGUGGAUGAUACCAGUUAGUUGGUUUAAGCUUUAAUUAUGCUAAUAUGUUUACUUUCGAUCCCAAUGUUUGUUGGGAGUUUUUAGGUCUUGUUUGAGAUUUCAUGCGUGGGAAAUGCAGACAGCUUCUAGUGCUACAAAAACUAAUUCUUUAUUAUAUUUGAACUUAGACAAAGCUUAAUUGAGUGACAUGGACAAUGAGAAUUCAUAUAGCCGAGGAUUCACAUAGACGGUCUUAAAUAGAGGGACAGUGGAUAUUUCUUGGAAUAUUGAAGAUGAGAAAAAGUAAAGCUUACCUUAGCUUUGGUUAAGGGAGACUGGUAUGUCUGCAUAACUGUCAUGUAUGUUUCCAUAGCAGGUACUGGUUCUGGAACAACUCUCCUGCUGUUGUUACAAAGGUCAAUACGGUUACUAUCUUCAAGAUUGCUUCUACUUUCAAUAUCAUAGUUCUUUAUGCUGGAAUUGUUGCUUUUAACAUCUUCCAUGUUUUAAAUGCAGGACACUUCCAAUAUUCUAGUUAAGAAGUUGCCGUACAUUGUGUCAUGCUUAUAUAGCUUCAAAAAAGCCUCAAGGACUAUCGAUUUGCAAACAGGGAUAUCGAUUUGGUUGAUCCUAAGAAUAAAACAAAAGAUAUAAGUUAGUGCUGCAAAUUCUAAAAGCCACAAGUUGCUGGAGAGGGAGCAGGUAAAGGAACACAUCAUCAUAUAUAUAUUUUAGCAGUAAUUCCACCAAUUUGCAUACAAAUUUAUUUCAUCAUCCUGUUGGAGCACUUAUCGAUUCGCAAACAGGGAUAUGAAGAUAAAUUAUUGGUACAUUUUCUUGUUGACAUAUUAUAUUUUAUACCAAGGAGUGACUACACACUCUCACAAGUGACAUAUAACCAGAAAUUUUUAAAAAUCUGCCACUGUUGCUUUGUUGGAUGAACCUUAUCUAGUCUAGUCUAGUCUAGUUAAAUAAAUCAAGCUUAAAUUUUUGCAGUAAGUUGAUGACAAGUGAAAACUAGUAAAUCCUCUGAUUAAAAAGGUAAGCUUGAUUAAUGAACAAAAGCUCAUAUGCAAUUUUGCUGGCUUAUGAUUCUUUUGAUUAUGAAUUUUUUGUUUUAUUAUAGGUAUAUAUAUCAGUGUUGACACAUCUUGACCUAAGCUGGUCCAAUGUAAUGGUUAAGGUGUUGCACAACUUUCUUAAACUCGUGUGUUCAGUCCUAGCUAGCGACAUCAUUAUAUUUGCCUUUUUUUUACAUCUUUAAUAAAAA
RNAcentral lists this long non-coding RNA (1744 nucleotides) under Solanum tuberosum (potato). Its description in RNAcentral is "long non-coding RNA (STUB_LNC006528)". The record is from RNAcentral. Lineage: Eukaryota; Viridiplantae; Streptophyta; Magnoliopsida; Solanales; Solanaceae.